UUUUUGAAAAUAAUUUAAAGUCUAAUCUGCCCNCUGAUGAAAAUUAAAGGGCUGCAGUAUUUUGACUGUACAAAGGUAGCAUAAUCAUUAGUUUUUUAAUUGGAAACUUGUAUGAAAGAUUUAAUGAAAUAUAUACUGUCUCAAAUUUAUUAUUAAAACUUUAUUUUUUAGUUAAAAAGCUAAAAUAUUUUUAAAAGACGAGAAGACCCUAUAGAGUUUUAUAUUUAUUUUUAUUAAAAACUUAUAUAAAAAUUAAUGUUUAAAAUAAAAUAAAAUAUUAUGUUGGGGUGAUAGAAAAAUUAAAUUAACUUUUUGUGAUAAAUAAUAUUAAUAAAUAGAUAAAUGAUCCAUAAAUAAUGAUUAAAAGAAAAAAUUACCUUAGGGAUAACAGCGUAAUUUUUUUUUUUAGCACAAAUAAAAAAAAAAGUUUGCGACCUCGAUGUUGGAUUAAGAUAAAAUUUAAACGCAAAAGUUUAAAAUUUGGAUCUGUUCGAUCAUUA
RNAcentral lists this ribosomal RNA (500 nucleotides) under Ypthima similis. RNAcentral's name for it is "partial 16S ribosomal RNA". Lineage: Eukaryota; Metazoa; Arthropoda; Insecta; Lepidoptera; Nymphalidae. The record is from RNAcentral.